This 203-nucleotide long non-coding RNA is filed under the name Elaeis guineensis (African oil palm). RNAcentral describes it as "long non-coding RNA (EGUI_LNC059326)". The record is from RNAcentral. Lineage: Eukaryota; Viridiplantae; Streptophyta; Magnoliopsida; Arecales; Arecaceae.
GUGUCCUUCUUUGCCACACUGAUAAUAGGUAUCCUUGGCUGAGACUUUUUUUGCCUUCUUCUUCGAGAUACUAGCCUUAGGGUUCAACUUUUUCUUAGAACCCUUCUUGCCUUUUUUUCUUGGAGAUCUUAUCUACAAGAAGAACAUGAGCCUUAUCACUCUUGAAAUGGCUCUCUGCUGUCUUUACCAUAUUGAGCAACUCA